Molecule: ribosomal RNA, 253 nt
Filed under: uncultured bacterium
Lineage: Bacteria
Description: partial 16S ribosomal RNA
Rfam family: Bacterial small subunit ribosomal RNA
Source: RNAcentral
UACGAAGGGGGCUAGCGUUGCUCGGAAUCACUGGGCGUAAAGCGCACGUAGGCGGAUUGUUAAGUCAGGGGUGAAAUCCUGGAGCUCAACUCCAGAACUGCCUUUGAUACUGGCGAUCUCGAGUCCGGGAGAGGUGAGUGGAACUGCGAGUGUAGAGGUGAAAUUCGUAGAUAUUCGCAAGAACACCGGUGGCGAAGGCGGGUCUCUGGGCCGAUACUGACGCUGAGGAGCGAAAGCAUGGGGAGCGAACGGG